Molecule: ribosomal RNA, 253 nt
Filed under: uncultured bacterium
Lineage: Bacteria
Description: partial 16S ribosomal RNA
Rfam family: Bacterial small subunit ribosomal RNA
Source: RNAcentral
UACGUAGGGUGCGAGCGUUAAUCGGAAUUACUGGGCGUAAAGCGUGCGCAGGCGGUUUUGCAAGCCGGAUGUGAAAUCCCCGGGCUUAACCUGGGAAUGGCAUUUGGGACUGCAAGGCUGGAGUGCGGCAGAGGAGACUGGAAUUCCUGGUGUAGCAGUGAAAUGCGUAGAUAUCAGGAGGAACACCGGUGGCGAAGGCGACUCUCUGGUCUGUAACUGACGCUGAGGCGCGAAAGCGUGGGGAGCGAACAGG